This 458-nucleotide ribosomal RNA is filed under the name uncultured bacterium. RNAcentral's name for it is "bacterial SSU rRNA". It matches the Rfam family "Bacterial small subunit ribosomal RNA", at positions 29 to 524 of the family's 1533-position model. The record is from RNAcentral.
AGCGAACGCUAGCGGCGGGCCUAACACAUGCAAGUCGAGCGCAUACCUUCGGGUAUGAGCGGCGGACGGGUGAGUAACGCGUAGGUCAUCUACCCUUUGGUGGGGGAUAACCCAGGGAAACUUGGGCUAAUACCGCACGAGGUCUACGGAUCAAAGCCUUCGGGCGCCAGAGGAUGAGCCUGCGUCGCAUUACCUAGUUGGCGGGGUAACGGCCCACCAAGGGGACGAUGCGUAGCUGGUCUGAGAGGAUGAUCAGCCACACUGGGACUGAGACACGGCCCAGACUCCUACGGGAGGCAGCAGUGGGGAAUAUUGCGCAAUGGGAGAAACCCUGACGCAGCCACGCCGCGUGGGUGAUGAAGGCCUUCGGGUUGUAAAGCCCUGUCGGGAGGGACGGAAUUCUUGACGGUACCUCCAAAGAAAGCACCGGCUAACUCCGUGCCAGCAGCCGCGGUAAU